Molecule: ribosomal RNA, 245 nt
Filed under: uncultured bacterium
Lineage: Bacteria
Description: partial small subunit ribosomal RNA
Rfam family: Bacterial small subunit ribosomal RNA
Source: RNAcentral
AGAAUCAACGCUGGCGGCGUGCCUAACACAUGCAAGUCGCACGAGAAAGGGACUUCGGUCCUGAGUACAGUGGCGCACGGGUGAGUAACACGUGAAUUAUCUACCUCCGAGUGGGGAAUAACUGAGAGAAAUCUUAGCUAAUACCGCAUAACACUUACGAGUCAAAGCAGCAAUGCGCUUGGAGAGGAGUUCGCGGCCGAUUAGUUAGUUGGCGGGGUAAUGGCCCACCAAGACGAUGAUCGGUA